RNAcentral lists this non-coding RNA (79 nucleotides) under pig gut metagenome. RNAcentral's name for it is "Glycine riboswitch". It matches the Rfam family "Glycine riboswitch aptamer", at positions 9 to 86 of the family's 94-position model. From Rfam's summary of the family: This family represents the bacterial glycine riboswitch. Glycine riboswitches usually consist of two metabolite-binding aptamers domains with similar structures in tandem. The record is from RNAcentral.
UUCUCCGGAGAACCUCAUUUUUAUGAGUGCCGAAGGUGCAAGGGAAGUAUUCCUAAUCUCUCAGGCAAAAGGACGGAGC